UAUUUACAUAAAACGCUGAGCAACUCCAAGGGGAUUGACUAGGUCUUAUUAGUCUUUUCUGGAUUAAGUCGUCUAUUUCAGCUUUGCAGGGUAUGAAGAUUAUGAGUUGGAAUUUUACCAAAACAAGUUGGAGGUUUACCAGAGCAUUAUUCGCAUAGAUCAAUAUCAGAUUCAUCAGAUGUAUCUGACCAAGAAUGGAUGGAGCUGAAGAUAAAAGAUUUUCAAUUCGUACUGUUUGUUUACUUGUUGUUUGUAGGUAAAGAU
Non-coding RNA from Amborella trichopoda, 264 nucleotides. The record is from RefSeq and is a predicted model, not a curated record. NCBI's taxonomy places the organism in Eukaryota, Viridiplantae, Streptophyta, Magnoliopsida, Amborellales, Amborellaceae.